GAUGAACGCUGGCGGCGUGCUUAACACAUGCAAGUCGAACGGAAAGGCCCAAGCUUGCUUGGGUACUCGAGUGGCGAACGGGUGAGUAACACGUGGGUGAUCUGCCCUGCACUUCGGGAUAAGCCUGGGAAACUGGGUCUAAUACCGGAUAGGACCACUUCUUGGAUGUUGUGGUGGAAAGUUUUUUCGGUGUGGGAUGAGCUCGCGGCCUAUCAGCUUGUUGGUGGGGUAAUGGCCUACGAAGGCGUCGACGGGUAGCCGGCCUGAGAGGGUGUACGGCGACUUGGGACUGAGGUACGGCACAGACUGCUACGGGAGGCAGCAGUGGGGAAUAUUGCACGAUGGGCGCAAGCCUGAUGAAGAGACGCCGCGUGGGGGAUGACGGCCUUCGGGUUGUAAACUCCUUUCGCUAGGGACGAAGCGUUUUGUGACGGUACCUGGAGAAGAAGCACCGGCUAACUACGUG
This 466-nucleotide ribosomal RNA is filed under the name uncultured bacterium. RNAcentral describes it as "partial 16S ribosomal RNA". It matches the Rfam family "Bacterial small subunit ribosomal RNA", at positions 28 to 507 of the family's 1533-position model. The record is from RNAcentral.